AUGAGGCUUCAGGAAUCAAAAUCACUUGCUGAGGUCACAGAUCCAGUCCGCAGUCUUCCGGAUGACGUCUUUUCCUCAGCCCGCUCCCAGCCUGGCUCUGCUUCCUCCUGGCGGCUAUGAGAAGCAACGAGAAACCAGGCUCCAUUUGUGGCUAUGAAGAAACUGAGAGGCUGAGGUGACCCUUAAGAGGCAUCUACACCAGGACCCAAACCUCGUACUUCUACUCUUCCUCAUCUUCAUUGUCUCACCCUGCACCUGAUGGAGAAAGCAUGUUGCAUGCCAUUUCGUGAGCACCUACCACAUGCCAGGCCUUACACUGGGGACCCUAUGUGAGUGGAACACCACCCCUGACCCUAAGGUGCUCGCUCUCCAGUGAAGAACAGCCGUGGAACAGCUGAACUUGGCAGCAGACUGUGGUUGGCAUCCUAAGAGAUUAAGGAGUGAUCAGGACACAGACACACACAGCGGGGAAGCCACGUGGAGACCCAGGAAGGAGAAGAUGGCCGUCCACAAACCAAGGAGAGAGGCUCUGAGAAAUCAAACCUGCCAACACCUUGAUCUUGGACUUCCAGCUUCUGGAACCG
Bos taurus (domestic cattle) is the source of this 584-nucleotide long non-coding RNA. Lineage: Eukaryota; Metazoa; Chordata; Mammalia; Artiodactyla; Bovidae. The record is from Ensembl.